AUACGUAGGUGGCAAGCGUUGUCCGGAUUUAUUGGGCGUAAAGCGAGCGCAGGCGGUUUCUUACGUCUGAUGUGAAAGCCCCCGGCUUAACCGGGGAGGGUCAUUGGAAACUGGGAGACUUGAGUGCAGAAGGGGAGAGUGGAAUUCCAUGUGGAGCGGUGAAAUGCGUAGAUAUAUGGAGGAACACCAGUGGCGAAGGCGACUCUCUGGUCUGUAACUGACGCUGAGGCUCGAAAGCGUGGGGAGCAAACAGGAUUAGAUACCCUGGUAGUCCACGCCGUAAACGAUGAGUGCUAAGUGUUGGAGGGUUUCCGCCCUUCAGUGCUGCAGCUAACGCAUUAAGCACUCCGCCUGGGGAGUACGGCCGCAAGGCUGAAACUCAAAGGAAUUGACGGGG
This 397-nucleotide ribosomal RNA is filed under the name uncultured bacterium. RNAcentral's name for it is "partial 16S ribosomal RNA". It matches the Rfam family "Bacterial small subunit ribosomal RNA", at positions 523 to 918 of the family's 1533-position model. The record is from RNAcentral.